CAGUUACAGGACAAGAACUGGAGAUGGCAGAACCUGGGUGGGACCGAUGUGAAGAGGCAGUCAGAGGUUGAAGCUGGACGACUUCAGACCAGGAAAUGAAGGAUAUUUUUCCAGAGGUGAGAAGGUGAAUGUGUGCUAUAACUUACCAGCAGUCUUGGGAAGGAGGGAAAUGAAUUGGAGCUGUUUUUCUAAAGGAUAUAUGCCUUAUUUUUUUGCUGCUUUCCUGUGGUCUGUCUGAUAGGAAGGGGGAGGAAAGAUGUGUUUUCUGACACUAGAAUGCCAGAGAAAUCUCCUGGAAAUAACACUUAAAAUUAUCUGGGGAAAGAAAUCUCUGAUUUCCUUGUUGCUGCAUUUGUGACGUUUGCUCUGCCUCCAGGAUAAUAUCCUCAUAGGGAAGAAAGGCAGGAUGGCACACUGAGAGAAAUAUCUGCUUUUUAGAUGUGGUCUAAUGGUGCUUUUUUCUCCCUUCCUUUUCUGGCCCCAAGGAGCAGAAGAGCUGAAUGUGAUGGUGAAGACCCAUCUCUGGUUUCUGGCUCUAUCUGAAAAGAAGAAAUUCACAUUUCACUCUCUCAUCCUAGAAACAAACCUAGCAUCCCGGAAGGAAAAUGAAUGCCAUUGGGAUUCAUACAUAACCAGUGAAGCUAUGAAAGCUUAACACGGAGCCGAGGAAAAGGAUUGCUGCAGGCUGUGGUUUGGUGCCAUGGAUGGCACAGAGGCUGGGUGAGGGGCAGUCCCAGAGCACCUUCAUUCUCCUCCUGCAGAUGAGCAGAACACUCCAGAUAGCACUGUGGGAUGAAGGGCUUUGCUGCCCACUGCUCCAAGGUGCCCGACCAGCUGCUGGGACAGCCAGGAAGAGAGCCUGCAAGGUGGCCAUUGCUGUGCAGUAGAAGAUUGUCAACCAUUGUUACUGUGGAAACCUUUGAAAAUAUGCUCCAUGAUAAAUUGGAUCUAGUGGCACCAAGGAAUCCCGAGCCUUCACGUGAUGUCUGCAGUUUGGACAGGAAAGGAAGUGAGAUAUAACACCUGCAAGGUGCUGUGAUGCUCAGCAGUGGUUGUCAGUGCUGUUAGAAAUGUGCCAUGAAGCUCAAGCAAAGGGCAAGGAGUGAACAGCAAACUUAUUCUGAUGGAUGGAGGAAAUUUGAAUCUGAACUUCAAAUGAAUGCUCCUUGUGUCCCUGCUUCCUCCUGGACUCAUGCAGAGAAGCCACUCCCUUGUCCCUUUUGAGGGUCGCAAAUAGCACCCACAGCCCAGCCAUCUUUAGCAUCAAAUGGUAGGGACAGACUUUAAGGAAGCAGUGGGUGUUUGCAAGAGCUGAUGGCCUCAUCCCAAAAUCUCUGCGGAGCUGAUGCACAGGUUUCUCGGUACGUGGUGAGGCUUCUCGUUGCGGAUCAUGUGGUUUGGACACUGAGGUUAAAGCUACAGUAUGUGUUUUGGAGAGUCUGGUAAGGAAAUAAGUCUGGCAGAUGCCACCGGUGCCAAACAUCAACAAUGGUUUUGCUGUUCUCACUUUUACUUUUUUCUGUUGCCUCCUGUUGUGCCUAUGAAGACACAAACGAAUCACCACAACCACUGUGGUCUUCAUAGGCAGGGAAAUCAAAUUUGAUGAGACUGUUCCAUGUAAUGUUUAACUAAGUAUAUUUUCUGCCCUCAGUUCAAGGAUGUUGACAUGGUUGACUUCAGCACCAUUUGGUUGAUCAGGACUCACACUGCCCUCCAGCUCCGUGUGCCUCAUCCAGGACAGAGCUGUGUUUCUGUGGUCACAUUCAAACAUACUCCAUCUUGUGACCCACCAAUACUUCCUCUGCAGAGUUAAAUAAGAGGCGAGGUCUCGGGUUGUGUUAUGACCGAUAGUUGGCUCAGAUUAUUUGGUCACCACUGAAUGAAUGAUUUCUUUCUCCCUUACCUUUUGCCAACGUCAGUGGUGUUCUACCUUUCCUCUUUCUAUGCUAAAUAAUGCAAAGUGGUGUGAAAGAGGGGGACGGCGCUGAAGCAUCAUGCUCCAAGCCAUUUAAUUCGUCCCAUUAACAGGUGUUGUGUUGACUUGAAUUUAUUUGCCUCAAGAAAAAUGUUGAAAUGGAGUUCUUAAGUAGGACCGCACGUUGUGAAAUGUCAAAAAAUGCACUGUGUUUCUUUACUAAGAAUGGUGCAGUCUCCUAUGAGAAACCCCAUGGAUAAGCCAUCCAAGGGCCGAGGCAAUGAGUGCCCGAUAGGCAGUUUUUGUAAGUGGAACUUCUUUCAAAACUGCAGAGCAAAGAGAAAACCGUAUUUCUAAGACUUCAGUUGCUGCCUCCCGAGCUGAUGCACCCUGUCAGAUUGGAUCUCUCAUGUCACGUUACAAUCUGACUUCAGAUGUCACAGCCCAACAAAUCAGCCACAAAUCUGCCAGUUUGGUCUUCACGAGAGCGAUUUGAAGAACGAGCUUACAAGGAGAGCUUUUAUUUUUGGAUCCACUUCCCACCAAAUACUUCAGGCCAGAUACAUCUUCUAAAAGCUGUCCUAGAUGAAUACAUGCAUGGUGUGUGCACACCUGCAGCAUGUAAGGCUGUGUUGAGUACAUGGAUAAUGUUAGAUAUCUUUGUGGUCUUGUUUGGCUGCUGCUGUGAUUUACCUCUGUGCCAGCUGUGGGACGCUGCCCCACUGAGUCCCAUACAGUGGCCAUGCUUACACCUGUGGGACAUGCACCAUGAAAAUGACUGUGGGGUGCAAGCAUGCAGGCAUUUCUAUUGGGUUUUUGUCAGUUUGUUGGCUAUUGUGUCAUUUAUUUGUUUAAACAAAAGCAAAUAGAAGAAGACUGUGUCUUCAGUGUGGGUGAACUCAGAUCUCUCAGUGUGGGGGGGCUGCCUGCCAUCCCUGAGAGCUGCCCCAAGAUCCUCUUGGAGCUGCACUGCCUGCUGCUUUGGUAGAUAGGGCAUGUGGGAAACUUUCUGCUGAAGAAAAAUGCUGAUGUAGUGAGAGCAGUGAGUCUUGCUGGGAGCAUCCCUCUGCUCUCAGCUGGGGGAUGUGUUGGCUUUCUCUCCACGGAAAGGCCCCUGAUAGUACUGGAAGGCAGCAGUGCCAUUUAGGCUCGGUGGUUGUCUGGGCUCUGCUGUUGAGUGACACAGCACUUCUCUCUCCUUUGGCUACAUUAACCAGUUGCGUUGCAUGAAACAAAAAAAGUUGUAUUGGAAUGACAGUGCAGGUUUGUGCUGCCAUUGGGAUUUGGGUCCUUACAGAUGCUAAAAUAGCGAUUCUAUGCUACGUGUGUGUGUGUAUACUAGAUGAAUUCUCCAUUAUUUAUCUUCUUAUUUAAAUGCUAACCACAAUUAAGGUUAGUUAGUUAGAACACUUAGU
This is a long non-coding RNA of Gallus gallus (chicken), 3330 nucleotides long. The record is from Ensembl. NCBI's taxonomy places the organism in Eukaryota, Metazoa, Chordata, Aves, Galliformes, Phasianidae.